UUAAGCAUAGUUUCAUGUACUUAAAAAGAAAUCAUGUUUGCUAUUUUGGAAAAAGAACGAGUUUCUCAUUUAUCAUCCAUCCUAAAGGAAGUAGCAUGACUGUUUUUCCUUCUUAUUGAUAAGAAGGAAAGCAUUUAAUGCUUAGGUCCAAAACCAAGGAUUAUAUUCAAGUACCUAUGGUCAAAUAUUUUAUUUCAAUAAAAAAAAAUUAGAAUAGUUUCCGUUGCAAGCAAUGAGUAAAAAUGGACUUAACAGUAAGGAUAUUUAAUGACCUCGUAAAAAAAUCCGGAGGUAGGCAGUUCUGGGGAUGUGUAAUUUAUCCGUUCCAUGCCGGCCGACUCCAGGCUGGCUGCUGUGUUUUCUGACUUCUCCACCAUCCUGAUGCAAUAUCUCCAUGCAGCACGUCUGGGAACCAACCAAACACCCCUCCCAAAACCCUUUUUCCCUGUCGCUUUCUGCUGUGGGUGAGUCAUGUCCUCUCAUGAGAUAUGUUGAAAUCCUGCCCCAGGGCUUCAGAGUGUGAUCUUACUGGCAAGCAGAGUCUUUGCAGGUGUCAUCAAGUUAAGAUGAGGUAAUGCUGGGUUGCAAUGGGCCCUAAUCCAGUGACUGGGGUCCUUUGAAGAAGAGACACAGAGAGGGACAAAGACACAGCGUCUUGUGAUAAUACAGCCCAAGACUGGAGUGAUGUGUCUACAAACCAAGGAGUACCAGCAACACCAGUAGCUGGGGGAGAGGCUAUCCUUUUAUGGCUUAAGAGUUGAAACGAUUUCUUAUUGAAGUGCAUCUUAAUAAGAAGUAAAUUGAUUUAAAGUGUUCAAGCAAAUUGAUUUAAAGUGAAGAGUGAAUGAGGACUCUUCACUCUCAGCCCCUUGGGCUGAAGGGCAAGGUCCUCACAGCCUCCAGAAAGGAGCAACCCCAGGACACCUUGAUUUUGGACUGGCAGUUCACCUUCAUCUCUGCCUGAUUCUGCCCUUUGUCCCGGAAGCUCUGAACCCUCCCUUCUUCUCCAGACCUCACUAACUCAUUUGGGCUAUCUCUGGGUGCCUGGCUUAGCAUUUUAUAGUCAGCUUUUUAAAAGAAAUCAAAGCUAGCAUAUCGAGGGUUAACUUGCUUUCGUGAGAUUAAGAUUUUUGUUUUCAUACACAAGAAAAAUGAGAUUUCUCUGGUGCUGGCAACUUCAGUAAUCAAAGAGAACCUUAAGAAAACUGAGCAUUGCAAAGGGAAGAGGGAAAUCAUGAAUUUGAACUGAGUCCACUCAACCAAACAUUUUAUUAUGAAGAUUUACAAACAGAUGGCACAGCUAAAGGAAUUUGCAUGGUCAGCACCUGCGUCCACACCUCGGUUAACACGUGGCAGUACUCGCUUUGUGGUAGCUCUUUCCACCCCUCUCCCCAUCUGAGAAUUAGUUUUUUAAUUAGAUGAUUGCCAAAUUGCCCUGGGGACUCUCUGUAGGGAAAGUGUAGAGCAGAGUCUGAGUGCCUCCUUUCCAAGUUCAUCAGCCCUUUGUAGAUAGAAGCCCUUUGUACUUGGAUUUAUAAGAAGAAACACAUACUUGGUCUUUGCCCCAUUUCUGGCUGAGAUCCUGAGACCCUUGGGAUUUCCUAAGUGCUGCAAACUAUAAAGGUGUUUUGAUAGCCAGAACAGACCACACCUGAGGUUACCUUAAUGAGGUGAUUUUUGGAAAUCAGUUAAAGAUAGGGCUGGUUGCCAGGGGAAACAGCCCUGUGAUUGGAGGGUUGGAAAUCUCAGUCCCACCCCCUACACUUCCAGGGGGCGGGAGGGGCUAGAGGUUGCCUCUGGUGCCAGGGGCCAGUGGUUUAAUCAACCAUGCCUCAGUAACGAAGCCACCAUAAAAACCCAAAACACAGGGGCUCAGAAGGCAUCCCGGCUGGUGAAGACAGUCAUGUCAGGGAGAGUGGUGUGCCUGCACCUCUUCCUCCACCCUGCCCCAUGCAGCUCUUCCAUCCAGAUGCCAUCUACUUGGUAUUUGCACUGCUGCUUGAGAGAGAAGGCAGCAGCUGAGUGCAUUGUCAGAGGCCUGGUUGACACUGGAAGAUGGUUCAGGGCACAGUUGAUGCUGUGCACUUGUUCCCAAGGCUCCUGCUCUCGGUACCUGUUCCAAUGGGCCUGCAGAACAUGGCGCUGGAAAUGAUGGAAGCAGCUACACAGGGUUUAAGAGCAUCACUACUCAGCUCUUCCCACCCUAAGCUCUUUCAGAACUUGAUCUUUGGACCUGAUUAUGGAAGGGGGCCCCUUGUUCCUGGGGGACAUAUGUGACCUCUCGAAGAAUAAAGUGCCAUGACCCCGCCGCAUAUCCCCAGGGGUCGAGGGAGGGUUCCUAGGACGACGCUAACAGAGUACGAUGUUAACAACCCCAGGUUGCUUGUGAAAUGCCUCCAAGUGGAUGUCUGCGGUCUGGCUCAUUCGAUCUGCUUCUGUACACCCCAUGGAUUUCAGCCCGGCUCCCGUGGGUGGACGUCUGUGUCGUCCUCUGGACAAGCAGAGCUGCAAGCACCGUCCCCACCCACGGCUGCAUGAGCACCCGAGACAAUGGCCCACAGGGCCAAUGGCUUUCUGGGACAUGCCUUCCUCAAGACCAGAAUUGGAGCACAAGAGGACAAGUCAAACCACAAAAGCGGACGAAAAGACUCUGGUCACAUGCGGCAUGUUUCGUCCACUUAUGGUCCACUGGUCAAAGCAGG
Bubalus bubalis (water buffalo) is the source of this 2702-nucleotide long non-coding RNA. RefSeq lists it as uncharacterized. NCBI's taxonomy places the organism in Eukaryota, Metazoa, Chordata, Mammalia, Artiodactyla, Bovidae. The transcript has 5 exons. The record is from RefSeq and is a predicted model, not a curated record.